CUUAAGGGUUAAGCCCGAUGAACCCGAAUAUCUGAUGUGAGAAAUUCAAUACUGUUCAUUUAAUGGAUUGUAUGCACUUUUCUCAUAGUAAGACAUUGUAAUCCAUUGAUGCUAUAUCUUUUUCAUUUAUGGGAGAGAUGAUUUAACAUACGGACAAGAUGUAUAUGAUUAUUCUAUCAGUGAUGUGUUUACAUGUCAUAUGAAUAAAAUCGUUUUGUACCUGUUUAAAUAGUCGAUGGAUUUUAACUGAAUCAUGCUUGCAAUUUAUUUUGCGUUUCGUUUUAUCGGCCAUUUUGGUUGGUAAUAGCAGAAAUGGCAUGCAUUCGAUUAACAAUGCGAUAGAUUUGGGAUACUUUCAGGACCCGUCUUGA
RNAcentral lists this ribosomal RNA (371 nucleotides) under Taxodiomyia cupressiananassa. Its description in RNAcentral is "partial large subunit ribosomal RNA". Lineage: Eukaryota; Metazoa; Arthropoda; Insecta; Diptera; Cecidomyiidae. The record is from RNAcentral.